UACGAAGGGGGCUAGCGUUGCUCGGAAUCACUGGGCGUAAAGGGUGCGUAGGCGGGUUUCUAAGUCAGAGGUGAAAGCCCCCAGCUCAACUGGGGAAGUGCCUUGGAAACUGCGGGUCUCGAGGGAGGUAGGGGCAUGUGGAACUUCGGGUGGAGCGGUGAAAUGCGUUGAUAUCCGAAGGAACGCCGGUGGCGAAAGCGACGUGCUGGAUCUCUUCUGACGCUGAGGCGCGAAAGCCAGGGGAGCGAACGGG
RNAcentral lists this ribosomal RNA (253 nucleotides) under uncultured bacterium. Its description in RNAcentral is "partial 16S ribosomal RNA". It matches the Rfam family "Bacterial small subunit ribosomal RNA", at positions 524 to 776 of the family's 1533-position model. The record is from RNAcentral.